GCCGGGGUGGCGGAACGGUAGACGCGGGGGACUUAAAAUCCUCUUGGCCGGAAGGUCAGUGUGGGUUCGAAUCCCACCCCCGGCA
RNAcentral lists this transfer RNA (85 nucleotides) under Actinomycetes bacterium. RNAcentral's name for it is "Actinobacteria bacterium tRNA-Leu". It matches the Rfam family "tRNA". Rfam says of the family: Transfer RNA (tRNA) molecules are approximately 80 nucleotides in length. Their secondary structure includes four short double-helical elements and three loops (D, anti-codon, and T loops). Lineage: Bacteria; Bacillati; Actinomycetota; Actinomycetes. The record is from RNAcentral.